This 450-nucleotide ribosomal RNA is filed under the name uncultured bacterium. RNAcentral's name for it is "partial 16S ribosomal RNA". It matches the Rfam family "Bacterial small subunit ribosomal RNA", at positions 354 to 796 of the family's 1533-position model. The record is from RNAcentral.
GUAGGGAAUCUUCCACAAUGGACGAAAGUCUGAUGGAGCAACGCCGCGUGAGUGAAGAAGGUCUUCGGAUCGUAAAACUCUGUUGUUAGAGAAGAACGUGCAUGAUAGUAACUGAUCAUGUAAUGACGGUAUCUAACCAGAAAGGCACGGCUAACUACGUGCCAGCAGCCGCGGUAAUACGUAGGUGGCAAGCGUUGUCCGGAUUUCUUGGGCGUAAAGGGAACGCAGGCGGUUUUUUAAGUCUGAUGUGAAAGCCUUCGGCUUAACCGAAGAAUAGCAUUGGAAACUGGAAGACUUGAGUGCAGAAGAGGAGAGUGGAGUUCCAUGUGUAGCGGUGAAAUGCGUAGAUAUAUGGAGGAACACCAGUGGCGAAAGCGGCUCUCUGGUCUGUAACUGACGCUGAGGUUCGAAAGCGUGGGUAGCAAACAGGAUUAGAAACCCGGGUAGUCC